Molecule: ribosomal RNA, 153 nt
Filed under: uncultured bacterium
Lineage: Bacteria
Description: partial 16S ribosomal RNA
Rfam family: Bacterial small subunit ribosomal RNA
Source: RNAcentral
CCUACGGGAGGCAGCAGUGGGGAAUCUUGCGCAAUGGGCGAAAGCCUGACGCAGCCAUGCCGCGUGAAUGAUGAAGGUCUUAGGAUUGUAAAAUUCUUUCACCGGGGAAGAUAAUGACGGUACCCGGAGAAGAAGCCCCGGCUAACUUCGUGC